GGUUGUGGCUCAGUGGUAGAGCACUGGCCUAGCAUGUGUGAGGUGCUCUGGGUUCAAUCCCCCACACCA
This 69-nucleotide transfer RNA is filed under the name Marmota monax (woodchuck). RNAcentral's name for it is "tRNA.Ala". Lineage: Eukaryota; Metazoa; Chordata; Mammalia; Rodentia; Sciuridae. The record is from RNAcentral.